RNAcentral lists this ribosomal RNA (254 nucleotides) under uncultured bacterium. RNAcentral's name for it is "partial 16S ribosomal RNA". It matches the Rfam family "Bacterial small subunit ribosomal RNA", at positions 524 to 776 of the family's 1533-position model. The record is from RNAcentral.
UACGUAGGGUCCGAGCGUUGUCCGGAAUUACUGGGCGUAAAGAGCUCGUAGGUGGUUUGUCGCGUUGUUCGUGAAAACUCACAACUCAAUUGUGGGCGUGCGGGCGAUACGGGCAGACUGGAGUACUGCAGGGGGAGACUGGAAUUCCUGGUGUAGCGGUGGAAUGCGCAGAUAUCAGGAAGAACACCGGUGGCGAAGGCGGUUCUCUGGCAAUGUACUGACGCUGAGGAGCGAAAGUGUGGGGAGCGAACAGG